AUGACUACUGAGGAAAAGAACAAAUUAAAGAAGAGUGGCAUAAGAAAAGAGGCAUACAGCAGCAGUGGUUGGAUGAAGUGGAUGUGCUGGGAGGAGGCUGUGACGUCCUUCACAUUGACCUUCAGGUUGGAGGGGAUCUUGACGAAGGUCCUGUUCAUGUGCAUGAUGGCCUUGAUCUCAAGGCCUCAGGGUCAUGUGGUCCCAGGACAGGGUGGGACAGCUGAAGAGCUGGGGCAGGUGCAGGAUGACCUGCUCACUCUCCCUGACCAGGACACAGUGGGCACAGAAGGUGUGCUGGUGCUGCACCACAGCCUCACAAAUGAGGACCUGGUCGUCAGUCACCACCCUGUCCUCUGUAACAAUCCUGAAGGUGAACAUGAUGCAAAUGGGCAGCUGCUGCUGGGAGCUCUGAUCUGUGUCAAAGACCAGCUCCUCCAGGGUUUGGUAGCUCUGAGAGGUCUUGAGGGAGACAAAGUGGCCCUGGAAGUUGGGCUUGAUCGUCCUGACCACCAUUGUUAUCUUUGGGUUCUCAUAGAUCACAUACUAGAGACGAACCUAGGUGAUCUUGAUCAGGUCCCCCUUGCAGAGCCAGCACUCUUUCACCCCGAAGUCAUAGAUGGAGCUCGAAUAGUAGGACUGCGAGGAGAUCCGCAGCAUGUGCUGAAGGGAGAUGAGGUCCAGGGUGUGCACGAAAUCUUCCAGAGGCAUGGGUUCCAUGAUGCCCGUGGCUCUCUGCUGCUGAGUAAGGUCCUGGCCCUGGAAGGCCCCUUCCCCCUGUCCGUGGAGAUCCUGAAGGUUCCUGAAGGGUGCCACAUCUUCCUCAGCCCAUGGGUGCACUCCUUGAAGAGAGGCCAGAGGCUUUGCAUCUAUGGCCUAGCCUCACCACUCUGGCAGGUCCUGGCCUCAAACAAGGGCUGCAGGGAGCCCAGGAACUUCCUGGUGUCAGGGGCCUACCAGGGCAAGAUAUGGUGGCAGCCAAGGGAGUUCCUCGCAGCUUGUGACCUCCUGGGUGCAUUCCAGCCAGACCAGCCACUCGAAGUGGUGGCCACAAAGGACUGUGAGGGCAAGAGAGAGAAGAAUCCUAAGUUCACAUCCCUGUCUGUGGGUGACAGGCUAGAGGUACUGCAGCCUGGCCUGGCCCAUGGGGCCCAGGGGAGUGUUAUUGAUGUCUUGGUUUGUCAGUGGCUGAGUGAUGAGUAUGAGGAGGCAGAGAGCCCAGAGCGGGUCCUGCUGCCCCUCCACUGCCCUGGCAGCUUUGUGGAGGAGUUGAGUUACAGCCAGUGGUACAGCCUGGUGGAUCUGAUUGCCCAGUUCUCACUGCCUUUUGAGAUUAGGGUGAUGGUCAGAGAUCCCAGUUACCCUAUUGACCCUCUGACUGCUGUACUGGGUCUGCAGCUGGAGGAGAAGAUCACAGAGCCCUUCUUCGUGGUCAGCCUGGACUCUGAGCCUGGGAUGUGCUUCUAGAUUCCUCCCGGUGGCUGGACCUGACUGUCGUGAAGGCUGAGGUACAGCCAGACUGGACAGGGACCUGUACCCAUAGCGACAGUGGAGGAGCUGCCAGACACCUUCUAUUACACUCUUCAGAAGUUAGCAGGCUGUGAGAUACAAGCCUCUCCACCAAGGCCCCCUAAAAGUCAGUGCCUCAGCAGACAGAGGAGACAUAACACCGAGAAGGGAGGCGUCAAGUCCUCUCAAGUCUUAGGAUUACAGCAGCCCCUGUGCUACCCAAACCCAAGGUGAAGACCUUGCCAGAGUUCACCAAGGAUAGCUCCAGUAUGUACAGCAAGACUCCUGGCCACAAGAAGGGCCACAGGCCCACUAAGCCCCAAACACAGGAUCUAGAUGAUGAAGAACAUGAUUAUGAAGAAAUACUUGAGUGCUUUCAGAAAACCAUCUAAGUUUUGGAGGAACCAUGCAUCCUAACUGCUGUUUCUCAGGGAAUCUGAUGACAGCCAAUCAUUAUAAGCCUCUAAAAGACCUCGGGCAAGGCCUCAUAGAAACUGAACUGCGCACCGAGAAUGGCUUUGUGGGAACUGAUUUGAUGGGCACUGCACCAGCUUUCUUCAGGUUCCAGAUUCCGGCUACUUAGCGUGGGCUGGUUUGGACGUAACACCUCGCACAUGACUCCCUCAGCCUCAGAGCCUUGGGAUGCAGAGCAGCUAGCAGGGUUCCUCAAUCCUGCAACCCCAGCUGUCUCACCGAUGGGUGCAGAUGAGAAUCAGAGUCCACCAACCUUGGUGAUA
Non-coding RNA from Saimiri boliviensis boliviensis (Bolivian squirrel monkey), 2243 nucleotides. NCBI's taxonomy places the organism in Eukaryota, Metazoa, Chordata, Mammalia, Primates, Cebidae. The record is from RefSeq and is a predicted model, not a curated record.